RNAcentral lists this long non-coding RNA (923 nucleotides) under Serinus canaria (Common canary). RNAcentral describes it as "lncRNA (ENSSCAG00000008944.1)". Lineage: Eukaryota; Metazoa; Chordata; Aves; Passeriformes; Fringillidae. The record is from RNAcentral.
GGAUGUCCAAAAGAUUUUUGGGUUAUUUCAAGUUUUGUGCCAACAUUUGGGCGUUUCCCAUCAGAUUUGGGGAUUUCCCACCAAAAAUUGGGCGUUUUCUCCUGGAGUUUUAAAUUAUUUUGGAGUUUUGCACCCAAAUUUGGGGGUGGGAUAUUUUUGGGCACCUCCGAGGGGUUCAGAGCAUCCAAACCCCCCCCUGGAUUUCGGGGUGCCGCCAUUUUCACCCCGAAUUUGGGUGGUUUUGUGCCACAAUUCCGGAUUUUUCCCUGAUUUUUGGCGCUUUUUCCCAAAACCGCUGUUUUUCCCCCCAAGCUGGAGCUGCGCUGCCUCGAGGGGCUCCGGGACCCCCCUGGGGGACCCCGAGGGGGGCCCUGGGGGCCCCUCCCCCCCACCGCGGCGACGGCCCCGAAUUCUCCGACCCCCGGCUGCUCCCGUUCGUGGAGCAGCGGCGGGAAAAGUGGCACCGGAAAAAGUUCAUCCCCUCCCCCCCCUCAGGUUUGGACCUUUCCAAGAUGGUGGCGUUGAUGGGGGGCGGAGCCAGCAGCGCAGGGGGCGUGGCCUCUCCUUCCUUAGCCCCGCCCCCGCGCUUCCGGCCGGAAGCAGAAGAGGAAGCGGAAGCAGGGAGCGGGUGCUGCCCCCUGCUGGCCGACCCCAUGUUGCCACCCACUUCCGACUCGGAUUAAGCCCCGCCCCUUUUCCUGCCGGGGCCACGCCCCCCUUCCCAUAUUUAUAUAAAUAUGUAAAAUGUCUCUGUGUCAUAGGGGGCGGGGCGGGGGGCGGGGCUGAGCGGGGCGGGGCCGAGCAGGGCGGGGUCAAUGUGGGCAGGGCUGGUGGGAUGGGAGGGGCCUGGCGGGUUUUUUUUAAUAAAAGGUUUGGAAAUGGAGCACAGUGCUGUGAGUGAUUUCCCCCUAAUUACCUGCUAA